AGAGUUUGAUCAUGGCUCAGGAUGAACGCUAGCUACAGGCUUAACACAUGCAAGUCGAGGGGAAACGACAUCGAAAGCUUGCUUUUGAUGGGCGUCGACCGGCGCACGGGUGAGUAACGCGUAUCCAACCUGCCCACCACUUGGGGAUAACCUUGCGAAAGUAAGACUAAUACCCAAUGAUAUCUCUAGAAGACAUCUGAGAGAGAUUAAAGAUUUAUCGGUGAUGGAUGGGGAUGCGCCUGAUUAGCUUGUUGGCGGGGUAACGGGCCCACCAAGGCGACGAUCAGUAGGGGUUCUGAGAGGAAGGUCCCCCACAUUGGAACUGAGACACGGUCCAAACUCCUACGGGAGGCAGCA
Molecule: ribosomal RNA, 357 nt
Filed under: uncultured bacterium
Lineage: Bacteria
Description: bacterial SSU rRNA
Rfam family: Bacterial small subunit ribosomal RNA
Source: RNAcentral